This is a long non-coding RNA of Homo sapiens (human), 2120 nucleotides long. Ensembl annotates it as PDE6B antisense RNA 1. Its record names the gene PDE6B-AS1. The record is from Ensembl. Lineage: Eukaryota; Metazoa; Chordata; Mammalia; Primates; Hominidae.
AAAACAGCGGAAGGUCUGUUAUGAUCUAAAAUGGCCUCUGUGGCCCUGAGGUGAGCUUUUAAGUAGGUAAAGCAGGGCAGCUGGGGGCUUCACUGAGGCACGUGGAGCUGGCCGGGAGGGCGGGACGUGGCAGAGACAAGGAGAAGCACACAUCGCCGCACCCAGUGAGGGCAAGGCUGUGGGGACUCCAGACAGCACGGGACUCACAAAGCCGCUUUCUGCCACGUAGCUUGGAAGGCCGCUGGCCAGGGCCCAGUGAUCGGCUGAGGGUGUGCUGUGGGCAGAGAGCAGGGGUCAGAUAGGCCACGCCGGGCUGGAUGUGCGCGUGCAGGAGUCAGAGGGACUGGAUGUCUGUGUGCAGGGGUGAGAGGGGCUGGUCUAGGCUGCACGUGUGUGUGCAGGGGUCAGAGGGGCUGGUCUGGGCUGCACGUGUGUGUGCAGGGGUCAGAGGGGCCAGGCUGCGCUGGAUGUAGGUGUACUGGGGUCAGAUGGACUGGGCGUGUGUGCAGGGGUCUGGGGGUCUCUGGCUCAUGUGCCAUCCUCAGCAUUUACUCUCUUCUCUGAGUGCCAGGGGGUUCAGGAGGCGAGGAGGCCAGGGCGUGGGUUGGAGGACGGCUGUGCUGCCUUCUUCCUCCUCCCCAGGCUGCCGUGCUGGGGCCCCUCCCUCUUGGGAACCCCUCCCUCUCCGGAGGCCGUAUGGCUUCAGCCUGCUUUCUAGGACUCAGCGUUGGUGCCUGCCCUGCCACCCUGACCCUGACUUGUGCUCAAGCCUGGCACCUGGAUCCUGGUUCCUGCUUGGGGCCUGGGGAUGGGGUCCCAAUAGGCUUAUGGGAUCACAGGGCCACUGGGCCACCAGCUGCCCCUCCCUUGGCUGGAGUCCUGCCCUGACCUCCGGACUGGAGUUCCCCUCCUCUUCCAGCCCCACGGGGCCAAGACUCGGCCUCCUGGCUGGAGGCUCCACUGUCUGGGUGGGGCUGGUGGUGCCAGGGUCAAAUCCUGGGGCCUUCAUGCUCAAUUGUUGCUGACGAGGCCGCCUGGACAGCUUGCCUGGUCCCCUGUAUGUCCACUCUGGAUGUCCACAGUGACUCGGGCUCCUCAGCAGCCCACGUCCUCCUCACCAUCUCCCAGAACAUUGGAGUCAGGGAAACAGAGGCGUGUGGACAGGCCCUGGGCCCCUCCCCUAAGACUCACCCGGCCAUCAGGCGUGCGUGGGCCCGAGUACGGCUGGGACUCUCCCAUCAGCACAGACCACACGUCAAAAAAUUCCUGGGCAGAGAAGAGGAGGCCCACGGAGUACCGCUCGCAGUUGAGGUAGGCCCGCACCGUGUAGAAGGCCUUGUGGAACUGCCUCUCGAUGUCCGUCAGCUCCUCAAACACCUUGUUGGCCGACCACAGCAGCACCUGGAGGGAGGGGCACACCUGUGGGCCUGUGGCCACUCCCACCCUCACGCCGGUCUGACCACAGCAGCAGGGGUUUAACUCAAGCCUGACACAGGUUUCAUCUGAGCUUGUGGGGCCCGGGAGCUGGCUGGCGGUGAGGCCUCGAGGCUGCGGUCGUGUCCCUGAUCACUCAGGAGUGGACGAGUGGAAAGUGGAAUCUGUCGCUUUGAGCUUGACAGGCAAACAUCCGACCAGCCCUUCCUCCGCCCGGCUGCUCCAGAACCACCUGCGGCGAGCAGGGCUUUGAGAACAUCGGGCCGUGGUUUCCGCACGUCAGGCCGCCUGUGGCCUCCGCCAAGCGUCUGAGAGUGAAGCAUUGCUGACGCACUCCACGAGGUCCUGGCCAGACCCCACUCAGGACAUCCCGCUGCACAGGCCCCUGGUUGCUGGGUCAGCGCUGCCACCAGGCUCAGACUCACCCCAGGGCCCUCCUUGGGCCACCUUUCUCUGCCUCCUUGGUCAAGGCCCAGACCCAGGCCCCACCAGGCCCUGCCUCCUCACACUCGCGGCGGCCGCUGGGUCUUCUACCGCAUGGUGCCAGCUCCCUCUCCUCCGCUGCGGUGUCCUAGCCCAGCUCUCUCCCUGCCAGGCCCUCUGAAGUUCCACCCCCUGGCACUCAGCUCAUGGUGGGAACAGGACCAGGCUCUCCUGUUGCCAAGGGCAGUGAGAUGUUCGUAGCU